Molecule: ribosomal RNA, 561 nt
Filed under: Pseudomonas sp. SS10
Lineage: Bacteria; Pseudomonadati; Pseudomonadota; Gammaproteobacteria; Pseudomonadales; Pseudomonadaceae
Also listed under: 1 other name
Description: bacterial SSU rRNA
Rfam family: Bacterial small subunit ribosomal RNA
Source: RNAcentral
AAAGCCGCGGGCCUUACAAUGCAAGUCCGAGCGGUAGAGAGAAGCUUGCUUCUCUUGAGAGCGGCGGACGGGUGAGAAAAGGCUAGGAAUCUGCCUGGCAGUGGGGGAUAACGCUCGUUAACGGACGCUAAUACCGCAUACGUCCUACGGGAGAAAGCAGGGGACCUUCGGGCCUUGCGCUAUCAGAUGAGCCUAGGUCGGAUUAGCUAGUUGGUGAGGUAAUGGCUCACCAAGGCGACGAUCCGUAACUGGUCUGAGAGGAUGAUCAGUCACACUGGAACUGAGACACGGUCCAGACUCCUACAGGAGGCAGCAGUGGGGAAUAUUGGACAAUGGGCGAAAGCCUGAUCCAGCCAUGCCGCGUGUGUGAAGAAGGUCUUCGGAUUGUAAAGCACUUUAAGUUGGGAGGAAGGGUUGAAACCUAAUACGUUGCAAUCUUGACGUUUUUUAUAGAAUAAGCACCGGCUAACUCUGUGCCAGCAGCCGCGGUAAUACAGAGGGUGCAAGCGUUAAUCGGAAUUACUGGGCGUAAAGCGCGCGUAGGUGGUUCGUUAAGUUGGU